Molecule: ribosomal RNA, 325 nt
Filed under: uncultured eukaryote
Lineage: Eukaryota
Description: partial 18S ribosomal RNA
Rfam family: Eukaryotic small subunit ribosomal RNA
Source: RNAcentral
CCCUUAGAUGUUCUGGGCCGCACGCGCGCUACACUGAUGCAUUCAACGAGCCUAUCCUUGACCGACAGGUCCGGGUAAUCUUUGAAUCUGCAUCGUGACGGGGAUAGAUUAUUGCAAUUAUUAAUCUUCAACGAGGAAUGCCUAGUAGGCGCAAGUCAUCAGCUUGCGUCGAUUACGUCCCUGCCCUUUGUACACACCGCCCGUCGCUCCUACCGAUGGGGUGUGCUGGUGAAAUGUUCGGAUCGGCCGUUUGUCGCGGUUUCCGCGUCAUGUGGCUGAGAAGUUCAUUAAACCCUCCCACCGAGAGGAAGGAGAAGUCGUAACA